Anopheles coluzzii is the source of this 3612-nucleotide RNA transcript. RefSeq lists it as uncharacterized. The record is from RefSeq and is a predicted model, not a curated record. NCBI's taxonomy places the organism in Eukaryota, Metazoa, Arthropoda, Insecta, Diptera, Culicidae. The transcript has 8 exons.
CAGUUACUCCCCGCUUGGCAAAGAGUAACUCAUUUUGAUGCCUCUCGCCACCCCUGGCCCUAGUGUUGAAAAAGUCAUGCGACACACUCGCACUCCACCACCCCAUCCCAUGCCUAAACGCUCCCACCAUCGAGGUGUUAACCAAAAUUUCGCUGUGUGCAUGAGAUACAGCUCUCGCGCUCCCCCCACCCCCAUUCCUGUACGCUCCCACAGUUGCCAUGAUUGCUGAUUUUUGCUCUGAGCGUGAGACCCACACUCGCAAUUUUCCAUUCGCCACCAACAUCCCGCUCAAGGCAGAAGCACUAUGGACGGAAGACAUUAUGGACAUUCAAGAGUAGGAAAAUAACAUAGUUUUAUAUACAAAUAUAUGAUUUAUGAAAUACUAUAAAUUGAAUACUUAAUUGAGGAUUAUUAAAAUAUGCAUAAUAUUUCAAGCAUAAUGGUCUUUAGCUUGGUCAUUUUAUUGUGACAAUUAUUCGUUAUAAUAUAUUCUGCACGAAAAAUUAUGAUAUUUGAUUCGAGCUCUCCCAUAGUGACAGUUCCACAUUGUUGUUCUUUCUCGCUCACACUUUGAGAGUUCAACAUUUGACACUUCACAGGUACAAAAACAAAGUGAGCUGGCUUGGCUUGGCUUGGUUUGGCUUGGUUUGUUUUAUCAAAGAAGCUGACGAAAUUUAACUUGUUUUCGUGUAUAUUUUCAAUAUAUUUAGCUGUGAUUGUGGUAUUUAAGUGUUAAAUAAAGUUGUGCUGUGAUUACUGUGUGCAAAACGUGUAUGUGCCGGUGUAAAAGUGUUUGAUUGCCGUGGACAGUGUUGUGAACCAGAUCGCCGGAAUUUAUCGUGAAGCCGUGUAAAAAUGGCAUCAAAAAAAAUGCGAAUGGAUGGCAGUCUUUCGAAAAAACGCCAACAGUAUUUGGAGCAGUUGGAACGCGAAUGGCAAGCGGAGCAGCACCAACCGAAUCUUCCGGGUCCAAGCGGAGUAACGGCAGGACAGGAGCCGAAUCUCAUCAUGAAUGUUGAUGAAUCUAACGCCGGAGCGGAGCUAUGUGCGUCUGACGGCGAUGGUGGCUAUGGUGACAUGGAACGGGAAGCCGAAUUCGAUUUACAGGAGGAAAAUGAUUGGCAGGAAGACGAGGAAGAUGUGUACAUGGAAAGAGACACAAACUACCAGUUUUUUGACAACAUAUCGUUGCAGGAAGGACUUCGUUAUGUUGCCGUAACGAAAAAUCUGUCCCGAUCUACGGUCAACAUGAUUCUGGGUCUGUUGCGAAGAAAGCUGAAGCUCUGCCUUCCUGCUGACGCUCGAACCCUCUUAAAAACGUCCACCAAGGUCGGGAUGGAAAUCCAACCAAUCUUGGGUGGGCAGUUUUGGUAUCAGGGCAUAGAGACCGUGAUAAGAGAACAUUUUGGGGAGAUUAUCCCGCAUGUUGAUCUUUUUUCUUUGCAGGUUUUCAUCGAUGGAUUACCCCUUUACAAGAGUUCGGCAAGGCAGUUAUGGCCGAUUCUAUUUAAGGUAGAGGAACUACCAGAUGCACCGGUGAUGCUUGCCGGUGUAUUUUGUGGAUUCACAAAACCGGAUCACGUGGAAGGAUUUUUGCGGCCUCUCGUUGAUGAAGUAAACAAGCUUCAAUCAAGCGGCUUGCGGUUCGGCGACAAGACGGUGGGCGUUAAACUUCACAUAUUUAUCGCUGAUUUACCCGCCCGCUGCUUUGCCAAAGCCACCAUAAGCUACGUUGGCAAACACAGCUGUCAUAAAUGUACAUGCGUGGGAGUACACGAAGGGAAAAAAGUCAUUUUUGAUGAUGUGGAUGCUGCAUUGCGGACUGAGGAAAGCUUUAAAGGCAGGACGGAUAAGGAACAUCACAAAAGUUGGAAGUCACCUUUGGAAGAUGUGGUGGGUUUUAACAUUGUAGAUCAUAUAAUCAUAGCAGAACGCAUGCAUCAAUCAGAUUUGGGCAUUUCAAAAAAAAUAGCUACAGGAUUUGUUGAGCACAAAUUUCCCAAAUUCCCCAAAUGGACAGAGGCACACAUAGAAACAGUUUCAAAUUUUUUAAUAGCAACACAGCUUCCAGUAGAGUUCAAUAGGAGAUUGCGGCACGUUAAAUUUAUUAAAUUUUGGAAGGCGACAGAGUUCCGUACAUUUUUACAUUACGUUAGUAUUAUUGUGUAUAGAGAUUUUAUGUGGGAGGAGGCAUUUAGUCAUUAUUUGCUUUAUUUUUGUUCUAUGACUAUAUUUUCCUCUAAUCAUCACAAACCUCUUUGGCCGCUUGCUAAAAGAUUAAUGUAUAUUUACGUAAAAAAAUUUGCAGAUUUUUAUGGUAGAACUAAUUUAACUACUAAUGUACAUGGCCUUAUACAUAUUUAUAAUGAUGUAGAUAAUUUUGGAGCGGUAGAUGAUAUAUCCGCAUAUGAUUUUGAAAAUCAUUUACAGAUUUUAAAAGGUAGUUGUAAGUCAGGCAACAGAUGUAUGGAACAGGUUAUAACAAGAUGCAAGGAAUUUCAACAUAUAAAAAGAGCUAAAAACAUUCCCGCUCCAACUUAUCCGCAGUUGAUGCCUAAUGGUAUUGGCUUGCAAGUUAGAGCCGACUUUAGCCUAAAAGCCAAUUUUAGAAACCAAUGGUUUCUUAGUGACACAAAUUAUAUUUGCCAGUUUGUGGAAGCUAAGGAGACACAUUCUUCUUUUGUUGUCGUUGGUAUGCAGUAUGAGUCUAAAGAGGAGAUGUUCAAGCUUUCUGCAAAGGACCAUAUUUCAGAAAUAGAAUUAUCGUCCACUAGUUUACACAUUUACAAAGUAAAAAAUAACACUCCUCGCCAACGGGUAGAACUACCGCAUCAAAACAUAAAAUGUAAAUUAGUGGCCAUACAUUUACCAUCCCAAUCCCUUUUCAGCAACUCAAUUCUAACCACCAUUCCAUCCGAUACAAUAGGAUUUUUUCCUCUCCUCCACACUUUUCCAAAAGCAUAGUUGUAUUUAUUGAUAAUAAUAUGAUUUUAUUUUUAUUUUAGAGAAGGUAUUUGACUCCUAAUUUUCUGUGGCUCGGAUGGAGCAUGGGUUGGACUACAUUCGUAUAAUUAGAAUCGUUUAGAUUAGAAUGCAUGCAGUAGUUUAUUUGCAAUUCAUUAAAAACACCGGGCAAAACAAAAUAUACAACGCCUCAUGAAUCCGUUGUUUAUAGAAGAUCCUGAAUCUGCGUUUGCAGCCGCUGCGCUUGAGGUCGGAGAUGAUGGGACGACGAUAUUAUCUAUAAGAUAAUCCAGUUGGCAUUUUACUGUUCCAAUUGCAUUUGUCAGCUUCCAGAUUUUUUUGUCGUGCUCCAGCAUUCCUAAUUGUAUUUCAUUCAUCAUUCCUAACACCUUGUCAAUUUUUUCAUUGAGUGAAGCCAGUGUUAUCUCUGGAUUUUCGCUAACCUGGUUUUCCAUCGCUGAUAUGGCUAUGGUUUAAAAAUUAGUUGUUUUAAAAUUCAUUCGGCCACAAAGUCAUUCUAUCAUUUUAUUUACCUUUUUUUCACUUUUUUCUAGCUCCAAGCUCCAAGGCGUGCGAGAAUAAUUUUUUGCUCCAAUCAGUCCAAAAAACGAAGACCAAAUAAAAUUUUCCAUCGUCUUGAAACCCAUA